Non-coding RNA from Oryzias melastigma (Indian medaka), 71 nucleotides. The record is from the annotation of a RefSeq genome assembly. NCBI's taxonomy places the organism in Eukaryota, Metazoa, Chordata, Actinopteri, Beloniformes, Adrianichthyidae.
GCACUGGUGGUAUAGCGGUAGCAUAGCUGCUUGCCAUGCAGUUGACCUGGGUUCAAUUCCCAACCAAUGCA